RNAcentral lists this ribosomal RNA (494 nucleotides) under uncultured bacterium. RNAcentral describes it as "partial 16S ribosomal RNA". It matches the Rfam family "Bacterial small subunit ribosomal RNA", at positions 28 to 507 of the family's 1533-position model. The record is from RNAcentral.
GACGAACGCUGGCGGCGUGCCUAAUACAUGCAAGUCGAGCGGACUUAAAAAGCUUGCUUUUUAAGUUAGCGGCGGACGGGUGAGUAACACGUGGGCAACCUGCCUGUAAGACUGGGAUAACUUCGGGAAACCGGAGCUAAUACCGGAUAAUCCUUUUCUACUCAUGUAGAAAAGCUGAAAGACGGUUUACGCUGUCACUUACAGAUGGGCCCGCGGCGCAUUGGCUAGUUGGUGAGGUAACGGCUCACCAAGGCGACGAUGCGUAGCCGACCUGAGAGGGUGAUCGGCCACACUGGGACUGAGACACGGCCCAGACUCCUACGGGAGGCAGCAGUAGGGAAUCUUCCGCAAUGGACGAAAGUCUGACGGAGCAACGCCGCGUGAGUGAUGAAGGUUUUCGGAUCGUAAAACUCUGUUGUUAGGGAAGAACAAGUACGAGAGUAACUGCUCGUACCUUGACGGUACCUAACCAGAAAGCCACGGCUAACUACGUG